Molecule: long non-coding RNA, 733 nt
Organism: Zea mays
Lineage: Eukaryota; Viridiplantae; Streptophyta; Magnoliopsida; Poales; Poaceae
Exons: 3
Source: RefSeq, marked validated
GACGCGAUUUCGUUUGAGUCCCCACCAGACGGGCGAAACCAACUCUCUGCGGCAGAGGGCGGACGGCAGAGGGUUUUGGAGCAGGCAAGCCUGGCUCUUCUUGUUCCUCCAUCUCUUCCGUCGCCUUGCGCGUGUUGGCGGCUGCGUACGCGAGGCCGCCGCGUCUGGCCGGAUGGCUCACGCGGCCGUCGUCGCCUUGCUCGCCGUCGCUGUGAUCUUGGCCUGCUUGCCGCCGCCCGCCGCCUCGUCCUACCGGGGAGCGGCUGCAUUGCGACGGCUCGAGACAGCGGAGCCCAUGGACACCGCGCAGGGCUUGCGGGAGAAGGCGGACGUGAACAAGGGCGCGGAGGAGGACCUGAGCACGACAGGGUUCGGCGCCGAGUCGGAGAGGGAGGUGCCGACGGGACCGGACCCCAUCCACCACCACGCCCGGGGGCCAAGGCGGCAGUCGCCUUGAUCGUCAUGCGCGCGCGACACGGCGGCGGUGGAUCCUCGCUUCCUGGAAGUUUGUGGUCUUGAUCAGGCGGGCGUGAACCGGAUUCCACGAUGAUCCUGCUCUUUCUUUGUUCUUAAAUGUAUCUGCCAUGCACCUUUGGUUCUAAUUCCAUUGUUGUAGUAGGGAAGCAGCAUCCACCUAUCAACUAUCAUCAAAACCCCCCUAUGUUUUGGCGUGCCAAUUAGAGAAAGGGAAUUACAGCGCGAUUCAUAUAAUAAGUGUGUACAAUGAAUUCCA